AACGAACGCUGGCGGCGGGGUUUAGGGCAUGCAAGUCGCACGAGAAAGCCGCAAGGCAAGUACAGUGGCGUAAGGGUGAGUAAUGGUUCGUCAACGUACCGAGCAGACGUGAAUAAUUUCCCGAAAGGGAUUGUAAUGCACGAUGAGACCACGGGCUGUACGCAGUUUGUGAUCAAAGGUCGGGGGAUCCUUCGGGACCCGGCGCUGUUUUGAGCGGACGAACUCUGAUUAGCUAGUUGGCGGGGUAACGGCCCACCCAAGGCGAUGAUCAGUAGCCGGGCUGAGAGGCUGUCCGGCCACACGGGCACUGAGAUACUGGCCCGACUCCUACGGGAGGCUGCAGUCGCGAAUUUUUUCACAAUGGGCGCAAGCCUGAUGAAGCCACGCCGCGUGCGGGAUGAAAGGCCCUCUGGGUUGUAAAACCGCUGUCGAGGGAGGGGAACCGCUGGAUGUGAAUAGUAUCCAGUCUGACUGCUCUCUGAAGGAAGCCCCGGCAAAAACAUGUGCCA
This 509-nucleotide ribosomal RNA is filed under the name uncultured bacterium. RNAcentral describes it as "bacterial SSU rRNA". It matches the Rfam family "Bacterial small subunit ribosomal RNA", at positions 29 to 510 of the family's 1533-position model. The record is from RNAcentral.